UGGGGUGGGGCUCAGUGGCAGAGCGCUGGCCUGGCAUGUGUGAGACACUGGGCUCGAUUCUCAGCACCACAU
RNAcentral lists this transfer RNA (72 nucleotides) under Marmota monax (woodchuck). It matches the Rfam family "tRNA". Rfam says of the family: Transfer RNA (tRNA) molecules are approximately 80 nucleotides in length. Lineage: Eukaryota; Metazoa; Chordata; Mammalia; Rodentia; Sciuridae. The record is from Rfam by way of RNAcentral.